CUUGCAUCAUGGGAAUGUGUUGGUGCAAGUGGCUGGAAGCUGGGCAGAAUCACUCAAUUAUCAGAAGGCUGGAGACUCUCCCUGUUGUAGAGCCUGUGCAGGAAAGAAACAUCACAGGGAGGAGACAGAACUUUUCACAAAUACUUGAACCCAAGGCCUCCUAAGUUUCACCAAACACAUUGAAAAACCUGGUUUUCCUUUUCUCUCCUACAAUUCAAUGACCAGCAGAGGUGCAGGAACAUCCAUCAGGAGGAGCUCAAGGCUAAAGCAGGCACUGAAGAGGAGCUAGAAGACAAGCAUCUGAAGCUCAUCAAACAGCCUAGCUGAGCUAUUUUAAUAUAUGAGAAGGGAAUUAAAUUAAAGAUUGGUGAAAAAUAUUUCAUUUUAGCAAAGUAUUCUGGUCCAUUAGAGCAAAGGGAGUGGCUGUUUAUUUUGCAGUUCUACUUUUUUUCCCUUUAAAAAUACUUUGUGCACAGGGCUCUCACUUGAGGGUAAUCUUUAUCAUAACUCAUUAGCUCUUAUCUAAAAUCAAACUACUAUACUUGAUUUUACAUGUGUAAUGCUCUGUUUUUAAUAUUGUAACGUGGUUUCAUUGGCCUAAAGAGCUGGAGAGCAGGAAAGAAGAGAUGGUGAGAACAGAGCUGUGUGAGUACCUCCACACACAUGCAGAGGGAGAAGCCAAGUCAAAAC
This is a long non-coding RNA of Passer montanus (Eurasian tree sparrow), 690 nucleotides long. RefSeq lists it as uncharacterized. NCBI's taxonomy places the organism in Eukaryota, Metazoa, Chordata, Aves, Passeriformes, Passeridae. The record is from RefSeq and is a predicted model, not a curated record. The transcript is spliced from 3 exons.